CCCCCACAAACACACGCAGGACGCAGCAAGAACAAUGAACAAGUGAACAAGCAUGAAAAUCCCCAAUUUGUUUUCGUCUCAUCUCAAAUCUCACUCUAUGAUUUUCAUUUACAAACACCACCACAACACAAUAGUUUACAAAUAUACCAAGAUAGAACUCAUUAGUUACCUAUUGAUGGGAGGAAUGGAGGAAGAUGCAAUUGCAAUCUGGAUCUGGAGAUGGAAAAACAAAAAUUCUUUGAAACUUGAAGCAAGGACGAAGGAAAGAAAGAAGCAAGCAGCAACAAAUCUGACUUUGUGAUAAGAAAUGAAAGAGAAGAGAAGAACGAAGUAGAGACAAGACAAGAGAAAUUAGAGGUACUGAUUCAUAAGUAAAAGCUAAA
This 383-nucleotide long non-coding RNA is filed under the name Trifolium pratense (red clover). RNAcentral describes it as "long non-coding RNA (TPRA_LNC013170)". The record is from RNAcentral. Lineage: Eukaryota; Viridiplantae; Streptophyta; Magnoliopsida; Fabales; Fabaceae.